UUAAACAUAAGAGUUUGAUCCUGGCUCAGGACGAACGCUGGCGGCGUGCCUAACACAUGCAAGUCGAGCGGAGAGGCGAGGGGGUUUACUCUGAGCCUCUUAGCGGCGGACGGGUGAGUAACACGUGGGUAACCUACCCCAAGGAGGGGGAUAACAGGUCGAAAGGCCUGCUAAUACCGCAUAAAGCUACUGGGGCGCAUGCUUUGGUAGCCAAAGGAGCGAUAGCUCCGCCUUGGGAUGGGCCCGCGGCCCAUUAGCUAGUUGGUGAGGUAACGGCUCACCAAGGCGACGAUGGGUAGCCGG
RNAcentral lists this ribosomal RNA (303 nucleotides) under Caloramator fervidus. Its description in RNAcentral is "16S rRNA. Bacterial SSU". It matches the Rfam family "Bacterial small subunit ribosomal RNA", at positions 1 to 290 of the family's 1533-position model. The record is from RNAcentral. Lineage: Bacteria; Bacillati; Bacillota; Clostridia; Eubacteriales; Clostridiaceae.